Molecule: long non-coding RNA, 983 nt
Filed under: Olea europaea (common olive)
Lineage: Eukaryota; Viridiplantae; Streptophyta; Magnoliopsida; Lamiales; Oleaceae
Description: long non-coding RNA (OEUR_LNC003016)
Source: RNAcentral
UUUGAAAGGUCAAAUAUGUGGAGUACGCAGACAACGGCAAUUAAUAUUGGACAGUCCCAUUCUCCCAUACCCUUCUUAACUCAUAUAUGUAUAUAUAAUUAUAUAGAUAUAUCAGAUUCCAAAAUCUAACAUGCAUAUCAAAAGCAUUCUUGUUUACAUACAAGUAAAAAGGUCCAGAGUUCCAAGAUUCACAGAAGAAAUAGGAUAUGUAUAAGAAGGUUCGACGAAUCAAGGUCCAAGAUCAUGUGAGUAGACCCAUAAGAUAAGGAACCAUAUAUAUCUCUCUCUCUCUCUCUCUUGCAAGUAAGGUUUAUAUUUUCCCAAAAGUACUAAAAGAUCUCUGGCCUGCUUUGAGGAAUUUUCAAAUUUUCUGGUGUUUAAGUGGGUGAACUGAUAUGAAAGUUAACAUGGAAGGGGAACCAACAAGAAGAAGAAGAAGAAAAAGAUGGGAUUCUACAACAAGAAUUGCAGUUUCUUCUCUUUGGUUGCUCUUAAUCUUUUCAGAAAUUUGUCUAUCUUCUUCUGAGAAGAUAAGUAAAACUACUAGUUCAAGAUUGUUUCCGGCAAAAAAAGCAAAUCAUGCUGAAGCUUCAAGUCCACCCCAAAUUGUGAGUUCUGAAAAAGAUGGAAGCUCUUCAAACAAUUUGUAUGAAGAAGAAAAGAGAUUAGUACACACAGGGCCCAACCCUCUUCAUAACUAAGUGACAACAUGUUAUGUGGGCUUUGCUACUAUCAAUUCUAAUGACUAGUUUUAGAAUUCAACUAGAAAAGACUGUAAGUUCUCUCUGCUCUCAGUCUUCAUUUCCGUCUUUUUUUUUUUUUUUUUUUUUUUUUUUUGUUUUUUUUAUUUUUUGGUAAUAUUUUUCAUUUCAUCUUUUCUUUUGGGAUCUUUUUUUCAUCUCAAAAAGAAUUGAUCCACAUAUUGAGCACAUUUGCCACUGGUAAAGUUGUAGACUGACAUAUAUAACCUUGCUAAUAGUGCC